Lethenteron reissneri (Far Eastern brook lamprey) is the source of this 4260-nucleotide long non-coding RNA. RefSeq lists it as uncharacterized. NCBI's taxonomy places the organism in Eukaryota, Metazoa, Chordata, Hyperoartia, Petromyzontiformes, Petromyzontidae. The record is from RefSeq and is a predicted model, not a curated record.
CACACGAACACCGUGCCGUUCGAGUCUCCUGAAGCAAAAUACAAGCGCGGUAUAAACACAACCAGCCGUGACGAGGUGCUGCUACAAGCGCUCCGGACUGUCCUCAGCAGCGUCGAGUGAAAACAAUGGGAUCAUUCCAAGGUGCGACCGUGCUCACCCAUCUGAAACUAAACACCACCGGACGCUUCGGCCGUUCGCCGGGCAGCGUUUUUGCGGCAUUCGCCACGACGCUGCUCCACGCACCGGCUCACCGGCCACCUCGGCACGAACACGCUCGCCACGCGCUCCCAGUCAACUCCCCAUCAUCGUACGGUGCAGCAAGAACAUCGAGACUCAACGUCCAUGGAGCUCACUGACGACAAUAAACGCUGUGUGGACCGCACGCAGGAGGCCGCGUGCCGGGGUGAAGGUGACCAGGGUGUGAAGGUGUAUAGGUGUGCAGGGCGUGGUGAUGGUGUGUAGCUGUGCAGGGCAUGGGUGUGAAUAUCUGUGGUUGUGAAUAUCUGUGGUUGUGUAUAGCCGUGGUUGUGUAUAGUUGUGUAUAGCUGUGGCUGUGUAUAGUUGUGUAUAUCUGUGGUUGUGUAUAGUUGUGUAUAGUUGUGUGUAGCUGUGGUUGUGUAUAGUUGUGUGUAGCUGUGGUUGUGUAUAGUUGUGUAUAGCUGUGGUUGUGUAUAGUUGUGUAUAGUUGUGGUUGUGUAUAGUUGUGUAUAGUUGUGGUUGUGUAUAGUUGUGUAUAGCUGUGGUUGUGUAUAGUUGUGUGUAGCUGUGGUUGUGUAUAGUUGUGUGUAGCUGUGGUUGUGUAUAGUUGUGUAUAGUUGUGGUUGUGUAUAGUUGUGUAUAGUUGUGUAUAGUUGUGGUUGUGUAUAGUUGUGUAUAUCUGUGGUUGUGUAUAGUUGUGUAUAGCCGUGGUUGUGUAUAGUUGUGUAUAGCUGUGGUUGUGUAUAGUUGUGUAUAGCCGUGGUUGUGUAUAGUUGUGUAUAUCUGUGGUUGUGUAUAGUUGUGUAUAUCUGUGGUUGUGUAUAGUUGUGUAUAACUGUGGUUGUGUAUAGUUGUGUAUAUCUGUGGUUGUGUAUAGUUGUGUAUAGCUGUGGUUGUGUAUAGUUGUGCAUAACUGUGGUAGUGUAUAGUUGUGUAUAGCUGUGGUUGUGUAUAGUUGUGUAUAACUGUGGUUGUGUAUAGUUGUGUAUAUCUGUGGUUGUGUAUAGUUGUGUAUAUCUGUGGUUGUGUAUAGUUGUGUAUAACUGUGGUUGUGUAUAGUUGUGUAUAUCUGUGGUUGUGUAUAGUUGUGUAUAGCUGUGGUUGUGUAUAGUUGUGCAUAACUGUGGUAGUGUAUAGUUGUGUAUAGCUGUGGUUGUGUAUAGUUGUGUAUAGCUGUAGUUGUGUAUAGCAGUGUUUGUGUAUAGUUGUGUAUAGCAGUGUUUGUGUAUAGUUGUGUAUAGUUGUGUAUAUCUGUGCAGGGUGUGUGUAGUUGUGUAUAGUUGUGUAUAGUUGUGUAUAUCUGUGCAGGGUGUGUGUAGUUGUGUAUAGUUGUGUAUAGCUGUGUAUAGUUGUGUAUAUCUGUGCGGGGGUGUAUAGUUGUGUAUAGUUGUGUAUAGUUGUUGUGUAUAUCUGUGUUUGUGUAUAGUUGUGUAUAGUUGUGUGUAGUUGUGUGCAGUUGUGUAUAGUAGUUGUGUAUAUCUGUGCAGGGUGUGUGUAGUUGUGUAUAGUUGUGUAUAGCGGUGUAUAGUUGUGUAUAUCUGUGCAAGGUGUGUAUAGUUGUGUAUAGUUGUGUAUAGUUGUUGUGUAUAUCUGUGUUUGUGUAUAGUUGUGUAUAGUUGUGUGUAGUUGUGUGCAGUUGUGUAUAGUUGUGUAUAGUUGUUGUGUAUAUCUGUGCAGGGUGUGUGUAGUUGUGUAUAGUUGUGUAUAGCUGUGUAUAGUUGUGUAUAUCUGUGCAGGGUGUGUAUAGUUGUGUAUAGUUGUGUAUAGUUGUGUAUAGGUGUUGUGUAUAUCUGUGUUUGUGUAUAGUUGUGUGUAGUUGUGUGCAGUUGUGUAUAGUUGUGUAUAGUUGUUGUGUAUAUCUGUGUUUAUGUAUAGUUGUGUAUAGUUGUGUAUAGUUGUGUAUAGCAGUGUAUAUCUGUGCAGGGUGUGUAUAGUUGUGUAUAGUUGUGUAUAGUAGUUGUGUAUAGUUGUUGUGUGUAGCCGUGCAGGGUGUGUAUAGUUGUGUAUAGUUGUGUAUAGUUGUUGUGUAUAUCAGUGUUUAUGUAUAGUUGUGUAUAGUUGUGUAUAGUUGUGUAUAUCUGUGUUUAUGUAUAGUUGUGUAUAGUUGUGUAUAGUUGUUGUGUAUAGUUGUUGUGUGUAGCCGUGCAGGUCUCCGCUUGCCGGUGAGCAGCUCGCCCCGGCUGGAGAAGGCCAUGCAGGUGACGGCGCGCGGCAGGAAGUGGGCGCCGUAGUUUGCGCGUGUCUCCAGGCGGACGGUGCCCUCCUCCGGCUGGAGGCGCCACCACGCCAGGUGCUGCCGGCCUCCCGACACCACGGAGUUCGGGUCGCGGCGUGAGAACCUGGCGGUGUCGAUGGCGGCGGCGGCGGCGGCCGGGACGGGCGGACGAGAGGGUGUCAGAGAUACUCCGGUCUCUUCCCACAAGCAAAAAAACUCAAAAAAGUAAAUUUCCCAACAUCCCAACACAGAACCUUGUUGAGAGAGCUCAGCCUUGAGCCUGUUCGGAGCCACCGGGGGGUACGAAUCCAUCUGUGGGCUCACCUGACGCAGGUGAGGCGGAGCUGACUCUCGUGCUGCGCGAGCGUGGCGCUCAGCAGGCGCCGAUGCUCCACCCCGAGCUCCCACACGAGCAGCACGUGCGCCGGGCCGCCCCCCGCCGCCAGCAGCAGCGGCGCCGCCGUCGCCGCCGCGCCGCUGAAGUCCAGGCUGAUGACGGGCCCGGGCCCAAGCAGGCCGGCGCCCAGAACCAGCAGCGUCUGCAGCGAGUCGCUCCGCCACAGGCGCACGUGCGCGCUCCGCGGGCGUCCCGCUCCGCCUCCAGCCCGGCCACGCCCCGCAUCCGGCUCGUCUUCACGCUCCUCGUCGUCGACGGCGCCGGCCUUGUCUCCCUGCGCCGUCGCCAUCGUGCGCUGGUCUGGGUGGAGCGCCAUGCUGGGACGGGAAGACGUUGGCAUUCUAUUCGUUUAAGGCCCACGGAGCUAUAUCGCUCUUUUUCAGAAAUGAUGGCCCAACUAGGCGGCUUAUCACGUGGAAAUGUACGGCAGCCAAAUACUCUAAACGCCGUGAUGAUGAUUCAGGCGACCACGGGGAGAACAUGCAAUCUACUAAUAUACAACAGGCGUCAGGGUCGGGAUCAAACCCACGACCUGCUGAAUACCACGUUAAAGGUUACUCAGUCAUCAUCAUCAUCAUCAGCCAUAUUCUAUCCACUACCGAGUGAAGACUUCCCCAAGCCGUGAGGUGACGUCAUAACAGUGAUAGACUCGGACAUCACUGGCGGAUUCCAGGCAGCUGUGAUUCAACCGGGCUCCCAGGUGUCGUGGGUUCAGGGCCUUAGCGUAGUAAUCAAUGACCGCACAAAAACAGCCCCGAUCAUAUUAGGCUGAUUGUCGUGUAGCGAACAUCUCUGUCGCAGGGCAUGUGAGAAGCUCUGCGACUUUGUGAAUGCGAUGCAAUGGAAGGGAUCUCAGAUGUAGUUCUCUUAUAAAACCACAUUUCAGAAAGUGUUCUGUACCAUGGGAUGAUGCAUUGCCCCUGUUUGAGAGUUGUGGUGAUGUGCUUAUUGUACGGGGCAGCUGCUGCCACCACCCCCACCCUGACCCCUCCUCUAGACUGGAGCCACCCUCACCUUGACCCCUCCUCUAGACUGGAGCCACCCUCACCUUGACCCCUCCUCUAGACUGGAGCCACCCCCACGUUGACCCCUCCUCCAGACUGGAGCCACCCCCACCUUGACCCCUCCUCUAGACUGAAGCCACCCCCACCUUGACCCCUCCUCUAGACUGGAGCCACCCCCACCUUGACCCCUCCUCUAGACUGGAGCCACCCCCACCUUGACCUCUCCUCUAGACUGGAGCUACCCCCACCUUGACCCCUCCUCUAGACUGGAGCCACCCCCACCUUGACCCCUCCUCUAGACUGGAGCAACCCCCACCUUGACCCCUCCUCUAGACUGGAGCUACCCCCACCUUGACCCCUCCUCUAGACUGGAGCCACUCCCACCUUGACCCCUCCUCUAGACUGGAGCCACCCCCACCUUGACCCCUCCUCCAGACUGGAGCCAC